Molecule: transfer RNA, 93 nt
Filed under: Desulfobulbaceae bacterium
Lineage: Bacteria; Pseudomonadati; Thermodesulfobacteriota; Desulfobulbia; Desulfobulbales; Desulfobulbaceae
Also listed under: 4 other names
Description: tRNA-Ser
Rfam family: tRNA
About the family: Transfer RNA (tRNA) molecules are approximately 80 nucleotides in length. Their secondary structure includes four short double-helical elements and three loops (D, anti-codon, and T loops).
Source: RNAcentral
GGAGAGAUGACCGAGUCGGCUGAAGGUGCUCGCCUGCUAAGCGAGUGUGGGGGUUAUACCCCACCGAGGGUUCGAAUCCCUCUCUCUCCGCCA